Molecule: transfer RNA, 65 nt
Filed under: Globitermes globosus
Lineage: Eukaryota; Metazoa; Arthropoda; Insecta; Blattodea; Termitidae
Description: tRNA-Phe
Source: RNAcentral
ACUUGAAUAGCUUAUAUAGAGCGCGACGCUGAAGAUGUCGAUGAGGUGAUAUGAACCUUUGAGUA